This 92-nucleotide transfer RNA is filed under the name Vibrio antiquarius. RNAcentral's name for it is "tRNA-Ser". It matches the Rfam family "tRNA". Rfam says of the family: Transfer RNA (tRNA) molecules are approximately 80 nucleotides in length. Their secondary structure includes four short double-helical elements and three loops (D, anti-codon, and T loops). Further hydrogen bonds mediate the characteristic L-shaped molecular structure. tRNAs have two regions of fundamental functional importance: the anti-codon, which is responsible for specific mRNA codon recognition, and the 3' end, to which the tRNAs corresponding amino acid is attached (by aminoacyl-tRNA synthetases). tRNAs cope with the degeneracy of the genetic code in two manners: having more than one tRNA (with a specific anti-codon) for a particular amino acid; and 'wobble' base-pairing, i.e. permitting non-standard base-pairing at the 3rd anti-codon position. Lineage: Bacteria; Pseudomonadati; Pseudomonadota; Gammaproteobacteria; Vibrionales; Vibrionaceae. The record is from RNAcentral.
GGUGAGGUGGCCGAGAGGCUGAAGGCGCUCCCCUGCUAAGGGAGUAUACCGUUUAUCCCGUAUCGAGGGUUCGAAUCCCUCCCUCACCGCCA